This 125-nucleotide small RNA is filed under the name Marmota monax (woodchuck). The record is from RNAcentral. Lineage: Eukaryota; Metazoa; Chordata; Mammalia; Rodentia; Sciuridae.
ACCGGAUGGGGUGGUGCACACCUGUAAUCCCAGUGACUUGGGAGGCUGAGGCAGGAGGAUCACGAGUUCAAAGCCAGCCUCAACAAAAGUGAGGUGCUAAGCAACUCAGUGAGACCCUGUCUCUA